Treponema denticola ATCC 35405 is the source of this 83-nucleotide transfer RNA. It matches the Rfam family "tRNA". Rfam says of the family: Transfer RNA (tRNA) molecules are approximately 80 nucleotides in length. Their secondary structure includes four short double-helical elements and three loops (D, anti-codon, and T loops). Lineage: Bacteria; Pseudomonadati; Spirochaetota; Spirochaetia; Treponematales; Treponemataceae. The record is from Rfam.
GCCGGCGUGGUGAAAUGGUAUACACGAUAGACUCAAAAUCUAUUGGGGGCGACUCCGUAAGGGUUCAAGUCCCUUCGCCGGUA